RNAcentral lists this ribosomal RNA (450 nucleotides) under uncultured bacterium. RNAcentral describes it as "bacterial SSU rRNA". It matches the Rfam family "Bacterial small subunit ribosomal RNA", at positions 354 to 796 of the family's 1533-position model. The record is from RNAcentral.
GUGGGGAAUAUUGGACAAUGGGCGAAAGCCUGAUCCAGCCAUGCCGCGUGUGUGAAGAAGGCCUUCGGGUCGUAAAGCACUUUAAGUUGGGAGGAAGGGCUCAUAGCGAAUACCUGUGAGUUUUGACGUUACCAACAGAAUAAGCACCGGCUAACUUCGUGCCAGCAGCCGCGGUAAUACGAAGGGUGCAAGCGUUAAUCGGAAUUACUGGGCGUAAAGCGCGCGUAGGUGGCUUGAUAAGUUGGAUGUGAAAUCCCCGGGCUCAACCUGGGAACUGCAUCCAAAACUGUCUGGCUAGAGUGCGGUAGAGGGUAGUGGAAUUUCCAGUGUAGCGGUGAAAUGCGUAGAUAUUGGAAGGAACACCAGUGGCGAAGGCGACUACCUGGACUGACACUGACACUGAGGUGCGAAAGCGUGGGGAGCAAACAGGAUUAGAAACCCCAGUAGUCC